GACGAACGCUGGCGGCGUGCUUAACACAUGCAAGUCGAGCGAUGAAGUUCCUUCGGGAAUGGAUUAGCGGCGGACGGGUGAGUAACACGUGGGUAACCUGCCUCAUAGAGGGGAAUAGCCUUCCGAAAGGAAGAUUAAUACCGCAUAAGAUUGUAGUAUCGCAUGAUACAGCAAUUAAAGGAGUAAUUCGCUAUGAGAUGGACCCGCGUCGCAUUAGCUAGUUGGUGAGGUAACGGCUCACCAAGGCGACGAUGCGUAGCCGACCUGAGAGGGUGAUCGGCCACAUUGGGACUGAGACACGGCCCAGACUCCUACGGGAGGCAGCAGUGGGGAAUAUUGCGCUAUGGGGGAAACCCUGAUGCAGCAACGCCGCGUGAGUGAUGACGGUCUUCGGAUUGUAAAACUCUGUCUUCAGGGACGAUAAUGACGGUACCUGAGGAGGAAGCCACGGCUAACUACGUGCCAGCCGCCGCGGUAA
RNAcentral lists this ribosomal RNA (478 nucleotides) under uncultured bacterium. Its description in RNAcentral is "partial 16S ribosomal RNA". It matches the Rfam family "Bacterial small subunit ribosomal RNA", at positions 28 to 523 of the family's 1533-position model. The record is from RNAcentral.